CCUACGGGUGGCAGCAGUGGGGAAUAUUGGGCAAUGGGCGCAAGCCUGACCCAGCAACGCCGCGUGAAGGAAGAAGGCUUUCGGGUUGUAAACUUCUUUUGUCAGGGAAGAGUAGAAGACGGUACCUGACGAAUAAGCCACGGCUAACAACGUGCCAGCAGCCGCGGUAAUACGGAGGUGGCAAGCUUUGUCCGGAUUUACUGGGUGUAAAGGGCGUGUAGCCGGGUUGACAAGUCAGAUGUGAAAUCCUGCGGCUUAACCGGAGAACUGCAUGUGAAACUGUUGAUCUUGAGUACUGGAGGGGCAGACGGAAUGCCUAGUGUAGCGGUGAAAUGCGUAGAUAUUAGGAGGAACACCAGUGGCGAAGGCGGUCUGCUGGACAGGAACUGACGGUGAGGCGCGAAAGCGUGGGGAGCAAACAGGAUUAGAUACCCUAGUAGUC
This 442-nucleotide ribosomal RNA is filed under the name uncultured bacterium. RNAcentral describes it as "partial 16S ribosomal RNA". It matches the Rfam family "Bacterial small subunit ribosomal RNA", at positions 338 to 795 of the family's 1533-position model. The record is from RNAcentral.